CCUACGGGAGGCAGCAGUGAGGAAUAUUGGUCAAUGGACGAGAGUCUGAACCAGCCAAGUCGCGUGAAGGAUGACUGCUCUAUGGGUUGUAAACUUCUUUUAUAUGGGAAUAAAAUGUUGUACGUGUGGGAUUUUGUAUGUCCCAUAUGGAUCAGGAUCGGCUAACUCCGUGCCAGCAGCCGCGGUAAUACGGAGGAUCCGGGCGUUAUCCGGAUUUAUUGGGUUUAAAGGGUGCGUAGGUGGAUUGUUAAGUCAGUUGUGAAAGUUUGCGGCUCAACCGUAAAAUUGCAGUUGAAAAUGGCAGGCUUGAGUACAGUAGAGGUGAGCGGAAUUCGUGGUGUAGCGGUGAAAUGCUUAGAUAUCACGAAGAACUCCGAUUGCGAAGGCAGUUCACUGGGCUGCAACUGACGCUGAGGCUCGAAAGUGUGGGUAUCAAACAGGAUUAGAGACCCUGGUAGUC
Molecule: ribosomal RNA, 460 nt
Filed under: uncultured bacterium
Lineage: Bacteria
Description: partial 16S ribosomal RNA
Rfam family: Bacterial small subunit ribosomal RNA
Source: RNAcentral